UACCGACCACCUUCUUAAUACAAAAGAGAGUACUCCAUUUGGCUCCUGCCUCAUUAAUAAUCAAAUUUUAAAAGUUCUGUGUUUUUUAAUUGGUGCUUUUAGGAUGCUGGUACUGGCACCCACAUUAUAUAACUACACGCUGCAGCCAGGGAACACAGAAGAAGGCAGUACUGAGUACAGAGAGACAUAAAAUGGUGGCGACAGCCAGCCAAUAUAAAAUGGCUGACAGAUUUUUCAGGUUGCUUCCCUGCUGAGCCAUUCAGUGGCAUACCUGAAAGGUACAGAUCAUCUAAAACUUAAAUUGCCAACAAGUACUAAUCCUAGACUAGCUGUUUAUGUAGAUGCAGAUUGGACAGAAGACAGAACAGAUCAUAAAUCCAGUGGAUACCUGCUCUUUUAUGGAGGAGGAGCAAUUAGUUGAUGCAAUCAAAAGCAAAGCACUGUUGCUGUCUCCUCUACAGAAGUGGAAUACACACAUGGACAAAUUUGUUGGUACCCUUACAACUCAUUGAAAAAGUGUUUUAUGCCUCCUGAAAAGUGAUUAAAUGAAAAGCAAUUGCCCCAUGUACACACGUGGACAAACGUAUUGGUAGCCCUCCACGAAGAAAGAAGAACCCACAAUUGUCUCUGAAAUAACUUGAAACUGACAAAGUGGAGUCCUCCUGGGUCUUCUUCCAUUGAGCCCACUGUCACUCAAAAAGCGAUGGAUGGUGCGAUCAGACACUGAUGGACCUUGACCUUGGAGUUCAGCUUAUAUCUCUUUGGAAGUUGUCCUUGGCUUUUUGUCUACCAUUCUCACUGGGGUCAAUUUUCCACUUGCGGCCGCGUCCAGGGAGGUUGGCUACAGUCCCAUGGACCUUGAACUUCUUAAUAAUAUUUGCAACUGUUGUCACAGGAACAUCAAACUGCUUGGAAAUGGUCUUAUAGCCUUUGCCUUUAACAUGCUUGUCUAUAAUUUUCUUUCUGAUCUCCUCAGACAACUCUCUCUUUUGCUUUCUCUGGUCUAUGUUCGUUGUGUUGGAAGUGAAGGACUUUGCACUGUCUCUUGUCUCAGUGACAUAGGAGGACAGACUAGUGAGUCAGAGGGCUAGAGGGUCAAGACAUUGGUUAUCCCUUCUCUACUGCUCUGACACUAUAUCUUUGGAAUGUAGAUUGCUAAUCUUAGGGACUUCCUUCCUUCCAGCCACUUCCUUCCUCUCUCCCUUCUCUUCCUGUUUCUUCUGCCUUGCAACAAGCAAGCAACAAGCAAUCCAUCUGCAUCCAUCUAGCUAGAUAUUGUACUGGUCUGUGACUGUAACAAUAAAGUAAGUGACUGACUGACUGACUGACAGCUAGCUAGCUAGAUUAGGGAUCCUAACUCCUCACUUUCCUGUCUAGAAUGGAGUUCUCUAAUAAAUACCAUAUAUAUUGAUUUGAAACUAUGAACUGGCUCCAAGUUACUUUACUCUCAGCAUACACACAUGCCUAACUAAAUUCCAUUGUGUUGUGCCUCUGUGCCCUCUGCUAUAAUGAAAAAGGGUUUCUCCUACCAGAGAGAAUUCCCAACACGUUGUGGGACAUAUGAUGAUACCAAACAGCAGAGUGACUACUGUUCUCCGUUUAAAUAGACUGAAUGACUGAUUGCAUGAUUGGAGACAUGUGUGAUACUAAUUAAAGAAAACAGCUAAUCUGAAAAAUCACUCUAAUCCAAUUAUUUAUUAUCUUUUCUAGGGGUACCAACAAAUGUGUCCAGACCACUUUAGAAUAUCUUUGUAGAAUAAGCAAUACUUUAUCUCUUUUCACAUUUGCUUUGCUUGACUCGACAUAUCAAAG
Long non-coding RNA from Hemicordylus capensis (graceful crag lizard), 1812 nucleotides. RefSeq lists it as uncharacterized. The transcript is spliced from 3 exons. NCBI's taxonomy places the organism in Eukaryota, Metazoa, Chordata, Lepidosauria, Squamata, Cordylidae. The record is from RefSeq and is a predicted model, not a curated record.